Molecule: long non-coding RNA, 3290 nt
Filed under: Brassica napus (rape)
Lineage: Eukaryota; Viridiplantae; Streptophyta; Magnoliopsida; Brassicales; Brassicaceae
Description: long non-coding RNA (BNAP_LNC008829)
Source: RNAcentral
ACUUCCCUUAAUUUCCUUUUGCUAAAUUGAUUAAAAAAACUCAAGAACUAUGCUCAUGCUAUGUUUGUUUCUCUGCAGAACAACAAUGGUUCUCAGAAGAUUUCUGGAGAUGCUCUCAAGGACCUGUACAAGUCCUUCGUUGCUGAGUACCCAAUUGUGUCCAUUGAGGACCCAUUUGACCAAGAUGACUGGGAGCACUAUGCUAAGAUGACCGCCGAGUGUGGAGACAAUGUUCAGAUUGUCGGUGAUGAUUUGUUGGUCACCAACCCCAAGGUUUGUAACUUAACCAGAUGUUCUUACCACUUUCUCUAUCUCUAUCUAUAUUGCUUAUCUUUGUUUAUACUCGUUCUUCUUGCAGAGAGUUGCCAAGGCAAUCGCAGAAAAGUCUUGCAAUGCUCUUCUCUUGAAGGUUAAUCAAAUCGGGUCAGUAACAGAGAGUAUUGAGGCAGUGAAGAUGUCAAAGAGAGCAGGAUGGGGAGUGAUGGCUAGCCACCGAAGUGGUGAAACCGAGGACACCUUCAUCGCUGACUUAUCCGUUGGCUUGUCUACUGUAAGUUUUAAACCAUUCAAAUGCCAAGUAACACACUACCUUGUUGUCUGAUUCUCAUUUUGAUUUCUCUCUCUCUCUUGACAGGGACAAAUCAAGACUGGAGCUCCUUGCAGAUCCGAGCGUCUUGCCAAGUACAACCAGGUUAGACAUGAUCUGUGUGUUUUUAACAACAAUCAAGAGCACAGUAGCUUUUCAUUGACUAAUCUGUUUGGUUAUAUAGAGUUAAUAAAUUGUUUAUCCGGAAAAAGAUCAUAUACUUGAACAAAAGAUUUUGUUAACCUAUACUAAUUUUUGUUAUGUAUCAAAGUAGACCAAGAAACAGGCCCCACUCUAUACAAAAUGUAGAACAGUUUUGUAACGCAACGCCCAUCAAACUUUGGAGCCCAUUAUUCCCCUUUUUUCAUUUUAUGUAAUAUAGAAAUGUUGACAUAUUCCACUUUCUCAAAUGUAUGAAACAUGCAAAUUCCCUAUAUUUAUUACUUGUUCAAGACUCUUGUCGUACUAUUAUUACUUGGACAAUGAGCAACGGCAGAUUAAUAAAAAAAAACCUCUUCUCGCCUGCAAAAGCCGUGCAACACAUCGUUUUGUCUUCUUUCCAUUAUGCGGACCUACCUUAUAUCAUCCAACGGUUCUUAUCAAAACAAUCCAACGUCUCUCCUUCACCCUCUUCCUCUUUAUAUAUUAUCAAACCGAACCACCCACUUCAUCAUCAUCGUCCACUUAAAACCCUCGAACUCAUCGCCUAUCAUCUCCAGAUCUCUACUCAACCAUGGCCACUAUCACCGCUGUUAAAGCUAGGCAGAUCUUCGACAGCCGUGGCAAUCCCACCGUCGAGGUUCGUUUCUUCUCUCACUCGCGAUGCUUAUUUUGAGCUUAGGGGGAAUGAGAUUGUGAUUUUGGAGACGAUGAUUAGUCAUCCAUCAUGUUUAUAUGAUUCUUGAGACGGAUCUGUGUUCAUUUGGUUAAAUUCGGUUAUCAUAUGGUUGAAUUCGGUUAUCGUUUGGUUAAAGUCGGUUAUCUUAUGGUUUAUACGGGAUUCUUAUGGUUAAAUGAGGCUAUCUUAUGGUUAAAUGAGGCUAUCUUAUGGUUAAUUCGGUUGUCUUAUGGUUUAAUUCGGUUAUGUUAUGAUUAAAUUCGGUUUUAUUUUGCUGGUUUAACUCAAUUGAUUUUGUAUAGUUUGUUAUAUAUGGUUUUAUAUAAUGUACAAUGGACACUUAUUCAAGUUAGGAUAUAUUUUAAUACAUAGAGAAGAAGCUGAUGGUUACAGGUAUUGGUCUGAUAAUGGUUUAGGUCGAUGUACACACAUCAAGUGGUGUUAAGGUUACAGCAGCGGUUCCGAGUGGAGCUUCCACCGGUAUCUACGAGGCUCUUGAGCUUAGGGAUGGUGGAUCAGACUACCUUGGAAAGGGUGUCUCUAAGGUGAGACUUUGAGACUGUUGUCUUUUUUUUUUUGUUGAAGAAGUGUUUUCUUUUUGUCUGAUUUUUUCUUUGUUGAUGUCUAUAGGCUGUUGGCAAUGUGAACUCCAUCAUCGGCCCAGCUUUGAUUGGAAAAGUGAGUCUUUUCUCCUUAAUUUAUUUCUAGUGCUUUGGAUUGUAUCUAAAAGGUGUUAUUUUCUGAUAUUCAUUUUUUUUUUAAUUGUUUCUUGUAGGACCCAACUCAGCAGACUGCUAUUGACAACUUCAUGGUCCAUGAACUUGAUGGAACCCAGAACGAAUGGGGAUGGUGCAAGCAAAAGGUGAUUCAAAGGGAAACUCAUGUUUUGUGUUUCAUUUUAAGAUUGAAGGAGGAAUCUGACCAUCUUGUUUCUUCUUUUUUUUGUGUGUGCACAGCUUGGAGCCAAUGCUAUUCUUGCUGUAUCUCUAGCUGUCUGCAAAGCUGGGGCUGUUGUCAGUGGCAUUCCUCUCUACAAGGUAGGAUGACUCUUGUGUGUCUAACUUGGUUUUUUCUGGUACUAGAUGUUCUAAGCUUUUCCAUUGUUGUAUUUGGAUGCAGCACAUUGCCAAUCUUGCUGGUAACCCUAAGAUUGUGCUACCAGUUCCUGCGUUCAACGUUAUCAAUGGUGGAUCCCAUGCCGGAAACAAGCUCGCCAUGCAGGAGUUUAUGAUCCUCCCUGUUGGAGCUUCUUCUUUCAAAGAAGCCAUGAAAAUGGGUGUUGAAGUUUACCACAACUUGAAGGUAACCUCUAGUACCCUCAUUAAAGAUGCAAAUUUUAUGUGGGCUAACAUGUUUUCGUAUGUUUUUUCAGUCUGUGAUUAAGAAGAAGUAUGGACAGGAUGCCACCAACGUCGGUGAUGAAGGGGGCUUUGCACCAAACAUUCAAGAAAACAAGGAAGGUCUUGAACUGCUUAAGACUGCUAUCGAGAAGGCUGGAUACACUGGCAAGGUUGUCAUUGGGAUGGAUGUUGCCGCUUCUGAGUUCUACUCAUCUGACAAGACUUACGACUUGAACUUCAAAGAAGAGGUGGAACUUCCCUUAAUUUCCUUUUGCUAAAUUGAUUAAAAAAACUCAAGAACUAUGCUCAUGCUAUGUUUGUUUCUCUGCAGAACAACAAUGGUUCUCAGAAGAUUUCUGGAGAUGCUCUCAAGGACCUGUACAAGUCCUUCGUUGCUGAGUACCCAAUUGUGUCCAUUGAGGACCCAUUUGACCAAGAUGACUGGGAGCACUAUGCUAAGAUGACCGCCGAGUGUGGAGACAAUGUUCAGAUUGUCGGUGAUGAUUUGUUGGUCACCAACCCCAAG